RNAcentral lists this ribosomal RNA (440 nucleotides) under uncultured bacterium. RNAcentral describes it as "partial 16S ribosomal RNA". It matches the Rfam family "Bacterial small subunit ribosomal RNA", at positions 338 to 795 of the family's 1533-position model. The record is from RNAcentral.
CCUACGGGUGGCUGCAGUGGGGGAUAUUGCACAAUGGGGGGAACCCUGAUGCAGCGCCGCCGCGUGGGUGAAGAAGCGCCUCGGCGCGUAAAGCCCUGUCAGCAGGGAAGAAAAUGACGGUACCUGAAGAAGAAGCCCCGGCGAACUACGUGCCCGCAGCCGCGGUAAUACGUAGGGAGCAAGCGUUAUCCGGAUUUCCUGGGUGGAAAGGGGGCGCAGACGGCGAUGCAAGCCAGGAGUGAAAGCCCGGGACCCAACCCCGGGACUGCUCUGGGAACUGAGUGGGUGGAGGGCAGGAGGGGCAGGCGGAAUUCCUGGUGUAGCGGUGAAAUGCGUAGAUAUCAGGAGGAACACCGGUGGCGAAGGCGGCCUGCUGGACUGCAACUGACGUUGAGGCCCGAAAGCGUGGGGAGCAAACAGGAUUAGAUACCCGUGUAGUC